Molecule: ribosomal RNA, 650 nt
Filed under: uncultured bacterium
Lineage: Bacteria
Description: bacterial SSU rRNA
Rfam family: Bacterial small subunit ribosomal RNA
Source: RNAcentral
GAACGGAAUGUGUGGAUGGUAACUGAAGCGCAUUUAGUGGCGGACAGGUGAGUAAUAAAUAGGUAACGUACCCCGGACUCAGGGAUAGCGGCGCCCUUCGGGGCAUUAGCGAAAGUGCCGGUAAUACCUGAUGAUGUCACCGCACUGCAUAGUGUGGUGGUCAAAGGUCCGCAGGUCUGGGAGCGGCCUAUUUCCUAUCAGCUUGUUGGUGAGGUAACGGCUCACCAAGGCGACAACAGGUACCAGGCGUGAGAGCGCGGUCUGGCACAUCGGGACUGAGACACUGCCCGGACAUCUACGGAUGGCUGCAGCAACGAAUCUUCCGCAAUGGGCGAAAGCCUGACGGAGCGACGCCGCGUGCAGGAUGAAGCACUUCGGUGUGUAAACUGCUGUCAGGGAUUAGGAAGAAAGUGACCAAUCCCAAAGGAAGCCUCGGCUAACUCCGUGCCAGCAGCCGCGGUAAUACGGAGGAGGCAAGCGUUGUUCGGAAUCACUGGGCUUAAAGCGUGUGUAGGCGGAAUGGAAGGUGUCUUGUGAAAUCCCUCGGCUCAACCGAGGAACUGCUGGGCAAACCGCCAUUCUUGAGGCCAGCAGGGGUACCUGGAACUUUGGGUGGAGCGGUGAAAUGCGUAGAUAUCCAAGGGAACGCC